This 2762-nucleotide long non-coding RNA is filed under the name Rattus norvegicus (Norway rat). RNAcentral's name for it is "long non-coding RNA NONRATT020851". The record is from RNAcentral. Lineage: Eukaryota; Metazoa; Chordata; Mammalia; Rodentia; Muridae.
AGAUUAGUGCCUUAUGGGUUUUGUUUGGGCCAUGGGCUGUCACAACCACUGCUACAGAUAGCCCAUUUUGUAUUGUCAUAUGAUGGGACCAAUAAGGAGCAGGGUGUGUGUGAGGACGAUUCCUGGAAACCAGUUUGUCAGUCUUUGCCUUUAACCUAUGAUUUUUAGCCAGGCAUAAAGGAGGAAAUUACGAGGAAGAGCUUUUGUUGUUUCCUGGUGAAAUGAGAAGCCCUGCGAAUGGGAAGUUUGCUCAAACUGUUCCUAAAAAGCAGAGCUGGGCCUGCCCCUGGCUUGGCCUCCUUUCACUGGGACAGGUCAAGGCAUCCUAGGCAAAGGGUAGGAAGUUUAUGAGAAAGCUGGUCUAACCUCACAUAUCUUAUGUCUUCCCUCCACACUAUUAAUAGACACUUAAAAUUAUUUCAUUCCAGUCUCCUAUAGCCAGGGAAAAAAGCCUCAUCUGAAUCAUUGGAUUUUUAGUUAAAAGGGAGAAAUUAUAGUCUUUCUUCAAUAUGUGGUACUGUUUUGAAAAUAAAUAUAAUUCAGUUCCUUGGCAAGUUUAGAAAUGGGGUUUCAGAAGUGACUGUCAUCUUUUAAAUACUUACUAUGCAAUUGGUUUUAUUUAUUUAAGAAUAUUGAAUGUUUUUCUUUUGAUCUCACAAGCAUUGUUCUAUGUCUUCAAUGUCUCAUCUACUGUAUACAAAGCUUUCUUUGAGCAGAUUAUCUGUUUUACAUAUUUCUCUAACUCAGUAAAAGUAUUAAACAUAUGCAUGCACAGGCCUGUGUGUGCACACCCCUUUUUACCUUUGCUCCAGGCACGUUUACGUGUGACUGUGAAUGACCCGCUAGGGACAGUGAAGACAUCAGGGAAGGAAGCGCCCCUCAGGCUUCUCUUUUUCAUCUUCCCCACAUCCGUCUGGUUGUUUGGCAAUGGCAGUGUAUGUCAGCACCCAACAGUUCUCUCUCAUCUGGGUUCUUGUUCCGUUGCUCUUGAGCCAGCUUGGGUUACUUCUUCCUGUGCUCUUGCAGUCGUGAUCUGUGUCUGGAGGUACCAUGGUGCCGUGAGUGCUGCCAGUGGGUCUCGGGUACAGGCAGAUGUGCCAUGUAUUUUUACUAAGUCGUAAACCCUCUUGACAUUUGGGUACUAUGUUUCAUCUGUUAACAAGGCUGAGGGUAAGGAAGAUAAUGCCUAUAAAUUUUAUUAUUGAGCUUCUAGACUGCUCAGACCAAAGUCAAUGAUUUGUGGGGCUGGAUGAAGAACACUGUCUACUGCCAGUCAUAUAAAGAACAUUAUUUGAGUCAAGUUCGAAGCCUACUUGCUUGCUUCCUGAAUGCCAGCAGCUGCGAUGUAUAUAUUACAGUAUGUUUGCUAUUCCUUCCAAUCUGUGCUGAAAUACGGGAAAAAAUUUUUCUAACUCACUGCUUUGUUCCAGAAAUGGCUGGAAUGUGAACAGAUAGCUGCAUGGAUGUUUGUGACCAUGCUUGUGCUCCCAGGAGUAGCCAGCAUCUAGUGUCCAGUUUGGCCAGCAUAUGCAAAGUUGCAGACUACGUGGCAGGCUGGCUGUCGUAUGGUUAGUUGUGGUAGAGCCCGUUCUACAACCAACAGGCUUGCCUUAGCUGCUCUAAAUACUGUGACAGAGCAACUCCAUUCUCCUGGAAGAGGCGACAGAGGAAUGUUUGCCUUUCUGAUAGCUUUGGUUGCUGUGGAAAACAGGCUUGUUUUCCAAACCUCCCUAGAGUUCUCCCUGCUCUUUUCUCGGAGCUUGCUUUUGGUAAGUGGGUCUCUAGUUCUGACGUCUGGGCUUCUCUUGUCUUGGACUGUGGACUCUGCACAUGGCAUUCAGAUGGUUUUCUGUGUGUCGAAAUAAAAGCAUGUGAGGGUAGUUCCUGCCCGGAGGACUCUCUCGGAGUCCAUGCUUUCCUGGUUUGAAUGUACGCAGUUGUCUCUCAAGAAAAGUGACCCUCUCACCCAUCUCCCCACCAGCUCAGUGAAUGAGUGCCCGCUGCGGUUCUUCACUUUGGAUCUUGUAGACUCUACAUUAGACAUCGCUUUUCUUCAGGGCUCUGAGGUCGUGUUCUCUUGACAUGGACAAAAAUAGUGCUGGUCAGAGGGUAGGGCGGCUGGGUCACCUCAGGCCCAGAGUGGCCAAGCAGGGACUUGAGAAGAAGGUGCUGCUCUUUGCUUUUCUGUCCAAGCUGUCCAGCACCUGAUCUAGUGCCUCUUCCCUGCAGGGCAGGGACCCCUAGUGAAUUGGAGCCAAUGAUGGGUGUGGGCCUUGUGGCUGUGACUCAGUGGGGCUCAGGUUAAGGUCCCCCUUGAAUUUGGAUGCGAAUAACCAACAGAUAUCAAGUACCUGUGAAACUGCUUCACUGCUUCUCUCUCUCUGAGAGGGAAACAAAUAAUAUUUUUCAGGAUAUUUUGUUUUAGUGUUAAGUAGCAUCCCACAAGCUGCGUUUUUAUUUAUUACACGCACAAAAAGUAAAUGUGUUUCUACAAAAUAAAAAGUCUAGAGUUGGACACUCUGGGCAAACUUACUGAGAUGCACAAAUGUUUCUCUCUCUCUCUGUGAUGUGCAAUAUGCUUGGCGACCAUAGAUAUUUCAUGUUUAAUCUGUAAAUAUGAACUGUAUUUAAAUUAAAUGAGAGAUUUUUGUAAAAGGACCAGACGUUCUUUUAUAAAUGUACUAAGGAAUAUCUUGUUCUUUGAAAUUUAUUAGGAUUUUUAUGGAUAAUUUUUAUUAAAAGAUUCUCUUUUUGAGUUGUCA